AUGUCAUGCGGUUUAAAUUUAGUGCAGGGAAAAAAUCAUACGAAGGGCAGCUCAAAAAAGAGAGAUAAAAAGAAAGGGGGAGCAAGCAGAGCGGAGGAUGCUCAAGAAAGUAUUAGGGAAAACGGGGGACAUUCUUUUGGGAUUCAUCCGAUGGGUAGUGAUUUAGAGUUCUCUUUUGAGAAAGAGAUGGACAACUAUGAGCAUAUGUUAUAUGGCGAUGUAACCGCCUCACCCAAACGAGUGUGUACUGGUAGAGUUGAGGUAAUCCAGGACAAGGAGGGGGGGUGUUACGCACGUAGAAAAGGAGAUAGACGAAAAGGAGGAAGAAUAUACUCCGCAAGGUGUAGUGUCGGUGGGUGA
RNAcentral lists this ribosomal RNA (360 nucleotides) under Triticum aestivum (bread wheat). Its description in RNAcentral is "partial small subunit ribosomal RNA". The record is from RNAcentral. Lineage: Eukaryota; Viridiplantae; Streptophyta; Magnoliopsida; Poales; Poaceae.